RNAcentral lists this non-coding RNA (26 nucleotides) under Cricetulus griseus (Chinese hamster). Lineage: Eukaryota; Metazoa; Chordata; Mammalia; Rodentia; Cricetidae. The record is from RNAcentral.
AUUUGUGAAGAGCUGCUGGAUAAUUC